CCCGUCAUUGUGCAUUUAUGUAUGAUACUUUUUGUAAUUUAGUCUAUAUGCCUUUUUGUGUUUCUUUUUUACACAUGACGUGGCUCUGUACUUAUACAUCCCGUCAAUGUGUUAGAGUUUUUAUAAUUGUUGUAUUUUUAUAUUUAUUUUUGCUUAUGUGCUUUGUCUAUAUGCCUUUUUGUAUUUCUUUGAUACAUAUGACGUAGCUCUG
Molecule: long non-coding RNA, 211 nt
Filed under: Mytilus galloprovincialis (Mediterranean mussel)
Lineage: Eukaryota; Metazoa; Mollusca; Bivalvia; Mytilida; Mytilidae
Source: RNAcentral